This 2906-nucleotide long non-coding RNA is filed under the name Sus scrofa (pig). RNAcentral's name for it is "lncRNA (ENSSSCG00035036262.1)". The record is from RNAcentral. Lineage: Eukaryota; Metazoa; Chordata; Mammalia; Artiodactyla; Suidae.
ACAUACACAUCCACACGCCAGCCCAAUGCCACCCACGUGGGACCAUUGAUUUCACUACCUCCAGGCUUUCUCAGGGAAAAGAGGCCAAUAAUGGGAAGAAAGAAACCCCCAGCUCCCCCAACUUAUGAAGAUGGAAACUGGUGAUCUAGGAUUCCCAGAAAGGGUAGAGAAAAACUCACUUAGCCUCCUAGAUUCACAGAACUAGGCCAUGGUGUUGAUGCAGUGACAUGUGGUAACAGCACCCAGCACAGUGCCUGACAUUUAGCAGAGGCUGAGUCAUCUCCCUCCUCCCACUGCUCCCUGACUCCCUCUCACCACUCUGUGGAAGGCUGGAGGCAAGAUUCUGCACACAGAUAAAGGCAGCUGUGCCAACGUCAGUGUGCAAAGGCCCAGGGGCUCCGGGGCAAGCCAGCAAACCACCCUCUGUCUUUAUGCCCUGAGGCCUGGAACAAGAGCUCUAACUCCAGCAGAGAUGCCCAGCAUUUCCAGACAGGAGCUGCCUCUACUUAUUACAAACUGCAUUCAAGGCAUGGGCUUUGGAGACAAGCCUGGGGGAAACUGAAAGACUUCUGAUUUCUAUACUAGGAGCUGAAUAUGUAGAUGUCAACACCAACACCACACCACACACACACACACACACACACACAAAAACACCUAACACUUACACCAUACCCACCACUGAGGGAAAAUGACCUACUUUCCAGAACUUUCCAUUGCCUAGAAACUCCCAGUGUCUGCAUCAAACUGCAGCUCUCUUUAAGGCAGUCCAGACAGUGAUGGUGAGCUAAAGGACAGAGUCCUGAGUCCCUUUUGAAAAUUAUUAAGAACAAAUUAGGCCCAGGGGCCCUGGGGAGCCUGUGUCAUAAAACAUGAGAAAAUUGUGUCUUCCAGUCCUCUGGCAGUAUUUUCAUGAACUGGUGACAACUGAAUAGAAGAUAGAGAUUAUUUUUGUAUCUUGACCUUAGUCUAAAAUGCUAUUGAGAAAGCUGCACCUUACCAGUUAAGGGACUUACCUAGCUGUGAAAUAGUGACCCACGCAGUAUAGGAAGUUUAAUACAUUCAAAAAGUUCCAAGUGCACAACCAGUACAAUUUACUAAAGUAAGAGGCGACCAGGCGGGGAUGCUGCCUACACACUUGCUCACUUUUUCGUCCAUUAACAAAAAGUUCUAUUUUAUGCCAAGGCAACAUAAGAAUAUUAUUUUAUUGCACCAAGAAUGCCACCACCAUGAAGCAUGAGAGCUGUUGUUCUGACCCUAAAAAGGAGCUAACGUGGUUUAAAAGUAAUUAAGAAGGAAAGCUGACUCUCUAUGUUUUGCGCCUCCGUCAGCGUGGCUACUGGGUUCCCUGCAGCCUGCCAAAGUCGGCAAAAUGACAGUGCUUGUAACCACCCGAUUUCUAAAACUGUAAGCUUCUAUUGUGAAGAAGCUUGAUUUUCUGCUUUAGAAAUCCAUCACCUGCCGGUCGGUCCUCGUGGCAUAUUGCUAAGAGACACCACAAAGGGCCCAGGUGCACGCAUGGGGAAUCAAGUUCUUCUCUCCUUUUAAUUACAGGUCGGCAACCGUCAGGGGGAUGGUGGAGAAACUGCCUCCCUAAAACGUUCAUUAGAGAUGGCAAUUUGCUAGCGGGGAAACAAAAACGGCCUCCUUCAACUCACUCAUCUGCAGAAGCCCCCCCCCCCCAACCCCAAGGUGAAUUAUGCCUCUGUAAUCACACGCUGGCCACACUGAGGCUCUGGGCUCAGCCCAGAACGCUUCCAGAGGGGAGGCAGGGACAGAAAAGCAGAGGUCACAAGGAAAGAGCAAGCCCUGAAGAAAGCGUUCAGACGUCCCGAACCUGUGCGAACAGUUCCUUCUACUUCCUGUUUAAGCUGUUACCCACCCCGCAGGAGGGACAGUUGUUAUCUUAGUAAUUUCAAAAGCUAUUAAGUGAGGAUGAAGGAGGGAGCUAAGGAAGUGAGGUGGGAGGGAAGGAGUUUCUCUGUUUGUGUGCAUGUGUGCGUGUGUGCGUGCGUGCGUGUGUGUGUGUGUGUGUGUGUGUGUGUGUGUGUGUUGUGAGUCAGCAAAAGCCGGAAGCCUGACAAAAGACUUCAAACAACAAGCUGGAAAGGAGGACAAUAGCUUCCACCCCCAGACAGUGAGAAAUUGCAUUAUCCUAAGGGAUCGCGGCCACCCGUGCUCAGUGCAGAUAAGUGAGGAGCUCUCUGUUCUGGCCAAUAGGAGCCAGGCAGCCGCAGCUGCUCGCGGAAGCCCUGGGUGGCCUCCGUCCCAGCCGCUCCAAAUGGUUUCAAGGCAAAAGCACUGCAGCUGGGUGGUGCUCAGAAGCUCAGGGGGUGGGAGGGGAGGCUGACAAAGUGGAGGCUGGCAAGUUGCACCCCCCCACCCCCCCACACGCCAGGUGCUCUAAAUCCCCUCUCCCGCUUAGGGAAACCACACACAGGUCUCCAGGCUGACUCCUCAGGCAGCUGUGUCAGAGCCUGCCUCCCCAUCAUUCCACAGCACACAGUGAAACGGUGCCUCAGAGACGGCGGACCCUAUGGGGAAACUUCCCCGCCACACAGUUCUUCGUGCUCCAGGAGCAAGAGGAUAAUUAAUGCCACUUGGCCAAAGAGAGGGGCAUUCCAAAUGCAGUCAUCAAGGAGACUGAAGCCUCGCCACACAACCUACACUGCAGACACAAAGCCCUGGAGACAAAAAAAAGACUUGGGCAAAUCCGAUCAGGAACUUCCAUCUGCAGUAAAAAGGUGAAAUGCAAAAGGGUAUAUUCACUAUCCUGAGUGGAAAAAAAAAAAAAAAUCUUCAUAUUUGAGGAAAAGUAUAUGAAAGUUACAUCAGGGGUUAGCUCACUUCUGGAAAUACUAUUAUUUACGGGGGAAGAAUUAACUAAAUAAAAAAGCAUGCAUUGAAUA